UCAAUGUUAGGGAAUGGUGCCAUAACUGU
This 29-nucleotide non-coding RNA is filed under the name Rattus norvegicus (Norway rat). The record is from RNAcentral. Lineage: Eukaryota; Metazoa; Chordata; Mammalia; Rodentia; Muridae.